AUUCACAGUGCAGCCAGCCCUUGGCUCCCAGAAUUCCCAAAACAAGUGUGCUCCCUUCAGAAAUACAGUCCUUGGAGUAGGAGGCUAACAGAGCUAAGGUGAAGGAUCUAAAACCUGAAAAGAGGCCAAAUGAUUCCUCAAAACCACGCAAGUACGAAGUAGCAGAGCGGAUCUCAAAUCCAGAGCACUGCGUGUUUUGAAAUAUACAAAUAGUGGGAAACGAAAUCUUUGUUCUGGAUGCAGUUAUAAUUUGGAAAGCGAGGAAAUAAAUUAUAACAAGGGGAAAAAACAGAAUACUACUAAAGUCAUGCCGUGUGACUUCUGAAGCUAGCUCCUAAGAAGUCCUUGCAGCUUCUGCCUGCGACUCUUAGAACACUUGCUUUGAAGGAUGCCAGAUGCUGUCUUAAAAGUCUGAGCACUCUGAAACCAUCAUGCUGUGAGGAAGCCCAAGCUAACCACAUGGGCAAAAAAGAUGCCCUCUGACUGCCACCAUUUGAGACACUCUAAUUAAGAACUGCCUCAUUGAGCCCAUGAGGCCCUGUGAAUGAUAAUAAUAAAUUGUUUUUAACCACUAUGUUUUUGGAUUUGUUAUAAGUUUAUAGAUAACAAGAAAAAGUUAUAUUAGCAUGGUAAUAAAAUUAUGGAUAUGUGUAA
RNAcentral lists this long non-coding RNA (654 nucleotides) under Homo sapiens (human). RNAcentral describes it as "long intergenic non-protein coding RNA 964". Lineage: Eukaryota; Metazoa; Chordata; Mammalia; Primates; Hominidae. The record is from RNAcentral.